Molecule: ribosomal RNA, 253 nt
Filed under: uncultured bacterium
Lineage: Bacteria
Description: partial 16S ribosomal RNA
Rfam family: Bacterial small subunit ribosomal RNA
Source: RNAcentral
UACGUAGGGUGCAAGCGUUAAUCGGAAUUACUGGGCGUAAAGCGUGCGCAGGCGGUUCUAUAAGACAGAUGUGAAAUCCCCGGGCUCAACCUGGGAACUGCAUUCGUGACUGUAGAGCUGGAGUGCGGCAGAGGGGGAUGGAAUUCCGCGUGUAGCAGUGAAAUGCGUAGAUAUGCGGAGGAACACCGAUGGCGAAGGCAAUCCCCUGGGCCUGCACUGACGCUCAUGCACGAAAGCGUGGGGAGCAAACAGG